Molecule: ribosomal RNA, 460 nt
Filed under: uncultured bacterium
Lineage: Bacteria
Description: partial 16S ribosomal RNA
Rfam family: Bacterial small subunit ribosomal RNA
Source: RNAcentral
CCUACGGGUGGCAGCAGUGAGGAAUAUUGGUCAAUGGUCGGGAGACUGAACCAGCCAAGCCGCGUGAGGGAUGAAGGUACAGAGUAUCGUAAACCUCUUUUGUCAGGGAACAAAGGCGGGGACGCGUCCCCGGAUGAGUGUACCUGAAGAAAAAGCAUCGGCUAACUCCGUGCCAGCAGCCGCGGUAAUACGGAGGAUGCGCGCGUUGUCCGGAAUUAUUGGGUUUAAAGGGUGCGCAGGCGGGUUGUUAAGUCCGGGGUGAAAGGCCGGGGCUCAACCCCGGCCCCGCGUUGGAAACUGUCAGUCUCGAGUUGGAGAGAAGUAUGCGGAAUGCGCGGUGUAGCGGUGAAAUGCAUAGAUAUCGCGCAGAACUCCGAUUGCGAAGGCAGCAUGCCGGCUCCACACUGACGCUGAGGCACGAAAGCGUGGGUAUCGAACAGGAUUAGAUACCCUUGUAGUC